GAUGAACGCUGGCGGCGUGCCUAAUACAUGCAAGUCGAGCGAACGGACGAGAAGCUUGCUUCUCUGAUGUUAGCGGCGGACGGGUGAGUAACACGUGGAUAACCUACCUAUAAGACUGGGAUAACUUCGGGAAACCGGAGCUAAUACCGGAUAAUAUUUUGAACCGCAUGGUUCAAAAGUGAAAGGCGGUCUUGCUGUCACUUAUAGAUGGAUCCGCGCUGCAUUAGCUAGUUGGUAAGGUAACGGCUUACCAAGGCAACGAUGCAUAGCCGACCUGAGAGGGUGAUCGGCCACACUGGAACUGAGACACGGUCCAGCCUCCUACGGGAGGCAGCAGUAGGGAAUCUUCCGCAAUGGGCGAAAGCCUGACGGAGCAACGCGGCGUGGGUGAUGAAGGCCUUCGGAUCGUAAAACUCUGUUAUUAGGGAAGAACAUAUGUGUAAGUAACUGUGCACAUCUUGACGGUACCUAAGCAGAAAGCCACGGCUAACUACGU
RNAcentral lists this ribosomal RNA (496 nucleotides) under uncultured bacterium. Its description in RNAcentral is "partial 16S ribosomal RNA". It matches the Rfam family "Bacterial small subunit ribosomal RNA", at positions 28 to 506 of the family's 1533-position model. The record is from RNAcentral.